UACGUAGGGGGCGAGCGUUAUCCGGAUUUAUUGGGCGUAAAGCGUGUGUAGGCGGUUUGUUAAGUUUAAGAUUAAAGCCCGGGGCUCAACUCCGGUAAGUCUUAAAAACUGGCAGACUUGAGUACGGUAGAGGCAAACGGAAUUUCUAGUGUAGCGGUGAAAUGCGUAGAUAUUAGAAGGAACACCAGUGGCGAAAGCGGUUUGCUGGGCCGUUACUGACGCUGAGGCACGAAAGCGUGGGGAGCAAAUAGG
RNAcentral lists this ribosomal RNA (252 nucleotides) under uncultured bacterium. RNAcentral describes it as "partial 16S ribosomal RNA". It matches the Rfam family "Bacterial small subunit ribosomal RNA", at positions 524 to 776 of the family's 1533-position model. The record is from RNAcentral.